UAAAUUUGCUGCCACUAGGGUGCGUCUAGAUUUCUAGGCUAGUAUCUAAGAGCAGUAUGAUGAUGAUAAUAAUGGUAAAUAACGUUAAUCUGUGUUGCGCCCCAGUCUAGGGGUGCCUAGGACGCAACAUGAAAAGGCCCCAUCUUCCCCGUCUCCCAAGUAGCCACAAACAAUUAGGUGGUUAGAUCAACAUACAUAUUUAUUUUACGUAGAAAAAAAUACAUACAUAACAGAUAUAUAAGGCUUCAGGGUGGCCUACCACAAAAGUAACAAACUAAACAAUUCUAACUGGGAGAUAAGAAACUAACCUAACAAAAAGAAGGGCAAAACAAAUGAAGGGUGAACAUCUGCAAGUCUAUCUUUAAUAUUUUAGUGAUUAUUUAAACUUACGCACUCUGCUGUACUUUUUAAAAACAUUACUAUAGUUAGCUGAACUGGACAGAAAUACUCAUACAUGUUUAUCGGUUAUUUAAUGAGUUAGUCACUUAAAAUAAAAUCUUACUCUGUUGUACUUUAUGUUUAGAUGACUAUCAGAUAGAUGUAUGGUUAUAAUUCACAUUGACAAAGCUUUCCUACAGGUCGUAUUAUCACUUAUUUAAAAAUGUAUUUAUCUUACUUUUCUUUUUUUUUUUUUUUUUUUCUGCAAUAGAUCAGCUGUUUCCCUGAUGACAAAGAAGUUGGACCUUCAGACCAGAUGAGAAGCGUGGCUGACUACAAGAAAAGUCAGAGAGCGAUGGUCACCUGUUUUAGUCAACAAAUAGAGUACGGGCAGGACUCUGGCAUUCCUGGGCCAUGUGUGAAUGGAUGUGGACCAGCUGAUCUUCCCAGGACAGGACACUACUACAUGUAGCAGCACAUCAGUUCACACAGUGAACCACUCUCAGCAGCCUCCUGGGUCGGCCCAGACUAAGCCUUCCUACACAGCCUACUGUUCACUCUUUUUCAUUUUUACCGCUUGACUGGUUUGGUGUUGAACUCAAUAAAAGAACAUCAGCCAUCUGA
Molecule: long non-coding RNA, 1002 nt
Organism: Perca flavescens (yellow perch)
Lineage: Eukaryota; Metazoa; Chordata; Actinopteri; Perciformes; Percidae
Exons: 2
Source: RefSeq, a predicted model, not a curated record